CCAGUAGCCAAGCUAAGCAUUAAUGCUUUCCGAAGCGGCUGCACAUGCGCAGUGGUGUGCAGCUGUGGGUCGAGGCUCCGGUUCCAACUUGCUAAUAUUCCACUUCACAUUUUCUGGCCGGUGAAAGCCGAGAAGUCAGGCAGUUACUUAAUUAUGAAGCUGGCUUUUGGUAGUGGUGUGUGUGUGUGUUUCUUCUCUGCUAACUUGAGGAAUGAACAGAAGGCUUCUCUACUGUGGGGAAACGUGGUCAGCAGCAUGCCCCUAUGAUCGCUCUAGGUGUGCAGUCAGAAAAGAGAUGAACAAAGGUCGUUAUCUUCAAAACACACGAGUGAAGAACAUUCAGCUCAGCUGUGAGCGCCUUUCCUAGCAUGCCCAGGGACUAGGGUUUCAUCUACACUAUAAAUAUAAAACUGCUACGGCUUGAGGUGAACUCAAUCAAAGUGUACUCCGUCGUGUAUGGAACUGUCACCGUGGAGCCCACUGCGGUACAAAGUCAGCUUGUACUAAGAAUUAAGAUACGGAAGAUACAGUACUCAGGCUUCCCCUCCUGGCUCUAGUCUGACAAGCAGGACUAAACGUCGUGGAGCUCAAGUAUAAAUUCCAGCAGAAACACAGCAUGCAGGACAGCUAGAUGGAAACGAAGGCUCAAAGUGAUACAUGGAGUGAAUAAAAGAACCCCAAAGCGGAUCCUACCUCAAAGGAUGAGCACAGUGUAGGGAAGGCCGCAGAAGGAACAUUUAUUUAUAAAUUGGUAUAUCUGAGUGUUUUCCCUGCAUGCAUGUCCAUGAACCUCAUGUACGCCUCAUGCCAAUCAAGGUCAGAAGAGAGAGUCACUUCCCACGGAACUGGAGCAACAGACAGUUGUGAGCCACCAUGUGGGUGCUGGGAAUUGAAUCUGGUUCCCUCUGGAAGAACAGCCAGUGGUCUCAAUCACAGAGCCAGCUAUCCAGCUUCUAUCCGGGGACCCCCUUGCCUCAGUCUGACUUUCCUGCCUGGCAACAUCUUUAUGACUCUUAAAUGAUCCAAACAGAC
Rattus norvegicus (Norway rat) is the source of this 1032-nucleotide non-coding RNA. Lineage: Eukaryota; Metazoa; Chordata; Mammalia; Rodentia; Muridae. The record is from RefSeq and is a predicted model, not a curated record.